This 570-nucleotide ribosomal RNA is filed under the name uncultured fungus. Its description in RNAcentral is "eukaryotic LSU rRNA". The stretch from base 210 to 363 matches the Rfam family "5.8S ribosomal RNA". The record is from RNAcentral. Lineage: Eukaryota; Fungi.
GUCGUAACAAGGUCUCCGUAGGUGAACCUGCGGAGGGAUCAUUACACAAAUAUGAAGGCGGGCUGGAACCUCUCGGGGUUACAGCCUUGCUGAAUUAUUCACCCUUGUCUUUUGCGUACUUCUUGUUUCCUUGGUGGGUUCGCCCACCACUAGGACAAACAUAAACCUUUUGUAAUUGCAAUCAGCGUCAGUAACAAAUUAAUAAUUACAACUUUCAACAACGGAUCUCUUGGUUCUGGCAUCGAUGAAGAACGCAGCGAAAUGCGAUAAGUAGUGUGAAUUGCAGAAUUCAGUGAAUCAUCGAAUCUUUGAACGCACAUUGCGCCUUUUGGUAUUCCAAAGGGCAUGCCUGUUCGAGCGUCAUUUGUACCCUCAAGCUUUGCUUGGUGUUGGGCGUCUUGUCUCUAGCUUUGCUGGAGACUCGCCUUAAAGUAAUUGGCAGCCGGCCUACUGGUUUCGGAGCGCAGCACAAGUCGCACUCUCUAUCAGCAAAGGUCUAGCAUCCAUUAAGCCUUUUUUUCAACUUUUGACCUCGGAUCAGGUAGGGAUACCCGCUGAACUUAAGCAUAU